Molecule: ribosomal RNA, 1546 nt
Filed under: Klebsiella pneumoniae
Lineage: Bacteria; Pseudomonadati; Pseudomonadota; Gammaproteobacteria; Enterobacterales; Enterobacteriaceae
Description: bacterial SSU rRNA
Rfam family: Bacterial small subunit ribosomal RNA
Source: RNAcentral
AAAUUGAAGAGUUUGAUCAUGGCUCAGAUUGAACGCUGGCGGCAGGCCUAACACAUGCAAGUCGAGCGGUAGCACAGAGAGCUUGCUCUCGGGUGACGAGCGGCGGACGGGUGAGUAAUGUCUGGGAAACUGCCUGAUGGAGGGGGAUAACUACUGGAAACGGUAGCUAAUACCGCAUAACGUCGCAAGACCAAAGUGGGGGACCUUCGGGCCUCAUGCCAUCAGAUGUGCCCAGAUGGGAUUAGCUAGUAGGUGGGGUAACGGCUCACCUAGGCGACGAUCCCUAGCUGGUCUGAGAGGAUGACCAGCCACACUGGAACUGAGACACGGUCCAGACUCCUACGGGAGGCAGCAGUGGGGAAUAUUGCACAAUGGGCGCAAGCCUGAUGCAGCCAUGCCGCGUGUGUGAAGAAGGCCUUCGGGUUGUAAAGCACUUUCAGCGGGGAGGAAGGCGUAAGGUUAAUAACCUUGGCGAUUGACGUUACCCGCAGAAGAAGCACCGGCUAACUCCGUGCCAGCAGCCGCGGUAAUACGGAGGGUGCAAGCGUUAAUCGGAAUUACUGGGCGUAAAGCGCACGCAGGCGGUCUGUCAAGUCGGAUGUGAAAUCCCCGGGCUCAACCUGGGAACUGCAUUCGAAACUGGCAGGCUAGAGUCUUGUAGAGGGGUAGAAUUCCAGGUGUAGCGGUGAAAUGCGUAGAGAUCUGGAGGAAUACCGGUGGCGAAGGCGGCCCCUGGACAAAGACUGACGCUCAGGUGCGAAAGCGUGGGGAGCAAACAGGAUUAGAUACCCUGGUAGUCCACGCCGUAAACGAUGUCGAUUUGGAGGUUGUGCCCUUGAGGCGUGGCUUCCGGAGCUAACGCGUUAAAUCGACCGCCUGGGGAGUACGGCCGCAAGGUUAAAACUCAAAUGAAUUGACGGGGGCCCGCACAAGCGGUGGAGCAUGUGGUUUAAUUCGAUGCAACGCGAAGAACCUUACCUGGUCUUGACAUCCACAGAACUUUCCAGAGAUGGAUUGGUGCCUUCGGGAACUGUGAGACAGGUGCUGCAUGGCUGUCGUCAGCUCGUGUUGUGAAAUGUUGGGUUAAGUCCCGCAACGAGCGCAACCCUUAUCCUUUGUUGCCAGCGGUUCGGCCGGGAACUCAAAGGAGACUGCCAGUGAUAAACUGGAGGAAGGUGGGGAUGACGUCAAGUCAUCAUGGCCCUUACGACCAGGGCUACACACGUGCUACAAUGGCAUAUACAAAGAGAAGCGACCUCGCGAGAGCAAGCGGACCUCAUAAAGUAUGUCGUAGUCCGGAUUGGAGUCUGCAACUCGACUCCAUGAAGUCGGAAUCGCUAGUAAUCGUAGAUCAGAAUGCUACGGUGAAUACGUUCCCGGGCCUUGUACACACCGCCCGUCACACCAUGGGAGUGGGUUGCAAAAGAAGUAGGUAGCUUAACCUUCGGGAGGGCGCUUACCACUUUGUGAUUCAUGACUGGGGUGAAGUCGUAACAAGGUAACCGUAGGGGAACCUGCGGUUGGAUCACCUCCUUACCUUAAAGAA